RNAcentral lists this ribosomal RNA (301 nucleotides) under uncultured bacterium. RNAcentral's name for it is "partial 16S ribosomal RNA". It matches the Rfam family "Bacterial small subunit ribosomal RNA", at positions 509 to 807 of the family's 1533-position model. The record is from RNAcentral.
CAGUCGCCGCGGUAAUACAGAGGGUGCAAGCGUUACCCGGAAUUACUGGGCGUAAAGCGUGCGUAGGUGGUUGUUUAAGUCUGCUGUGAAAGCCCUGGGCUCAACCUGGGAAUUGCAGUGGAUACUGGGCAACUAGAGUAAGGUAGAGGAUAGUGGAAUUUCCGGUGUAGCAGUGAAAUGCGUAGAGAUCGGAAGGAACAUCUGUGGCGAAGGCGACUAUCUGGGCCAUUACUGACACUGAGGCACGAAAGCGUGGGGAGCAAACAGGAUUAGAUACCCGCGUAGUCCCUGUCUCUUAUAC